GCUGACUCUUCAACCUGCAGUUUGCCCAGACAUUUUUCACCAUACACGCACAUUUGUGUGAUCAUUUGUGAUUCGGGUGUGCAGUACAUGCCGUGUGUACCCUGGGCCGUUAAAAUGUGUUGGAUGAAUAUUUAUUGGAUAUCGUGAAGCCACCACACCCUUUCCAUGUAGAAUAGAGAACCACUGACAGACAAGGUGCUUCUCUCAAACGUGAGGUCCCUUUACACGGUCAUGCUGAGUUGCACAAAAGCCCAACAACCCCCGGCCUUUCUGAGAUGAGCCAGAACACGAAAGGGGCCCCACUGAAAUCAGCCUGGUCAUCACUACUUUUCCACCUGAUUUUGUCCCGAAACACAACAGCAACGUCUACCUGGCAUCCUGAAAUUCAAGCAUGGUGGUGGUUCUUGUCUAUACCCCCAGCACCGGGGAAGCAGAGGCAGGAGGAUCAUGAAUUUGAAGAUAAUGGAACCAUCUCAAGAAACUAACAAACAGAAAGAGAGACAAGUCAAUGCUCAGGUAACUCAGGGGCCAUCUUGAAAUUGGUUCUCUCUCUCUCUCUCUCUCUCUCUCUCUCUCUCUCUCACACACACACACACACACACACACACACACACACACACACACACACGGGACUUGUUCCCUGGGUCACUUUGCCCACACACUUAGAGCAGAGCAGACCCCUGCCCCUUCUUCCCGAGCAUGGGGGUUGCCGGUCUAUGCGAACAGCUUGGCAACUGCUACUCAUUCCUAAACUCUGAAAGCCACUCUUUGGUUUUUAUGAUUCCCGUUUACUUUCAAGUCACCUGCUGUUGUGUUAGAUUUCUGUGUCCACCAUUGGACACAGAAAAUGGUGUCUGUGUGAGCGAUAAUUAUAAAAGCGUAAGGCUUCAGUGGUGAUUACAAUUUUAGGAACACAUUUUUCAGGGAGAGAAAUGAAGGGCUAGGCUAGCAAUUCUCCAUCCUUGAAAAAAUAAGAACCAUGAGAUUUAAACCAUGAGUCUUGAGAAAGAAAUCUUGGAAAAAUAUGCAGUGGGGAGAAUUCCAUUCUCCUUUCAUACUUCCCGAUUAUGUCUAAUUAAAUGCUACGCAGAGGUAAGUUCCAAAGACAUUACCACAUGAUUUACAGGCCAAGGAAGGAGCGUUCGUUCAACACACAGAAGUAUGCAAGCAUGUGUGUGCCCCUCCCCCCACACUAAUAUAUACUAAUUGCAUUUACUGAGGAUAUUCCUUCUUUGGUCUGUCUUUCCCAAACUUUGUUGUCAUGUUGAUAGCUACCCUAUGUCUGAUGGAGGCAGUUGAAGGAGAGAGGAGUCAAACUUUGGGAGGGAAGUAGACCAUGAGGUGACAUUUAGACCUGGGUGGAGUGAGACCAAGUGGGUAAGGUGUUUCACACAGGAAAGGAAGGAACUGUGGAGGGAGGCUUGCACAGCAAGCCAUUUAGAGCUGGAGUAAGCUGAGCCAGGGAUGGUGUAAUAGGAGAUAACACCAAAUCCAAGAGCCAAUAGCUCUUCAAGCAGAUUAAAGCAAGAAGGACUAAUUUUUGGUGACCAGAAAAAGCAAGAAGAAAUUGGCCUUCAAGUCUCUUUUCC
Long non-coding RNA from Rattus norvegicus (Norway rat), 1589 nucleotides. RefSeq lists it as uncharacterized. NCBI's taxonomy places the organism in Eukaryota, Metazoa, Chordata, Mammalia, Rodentia, Muridae. The record is from RefSeq and is a predicted model, not a curated record.